This 103-nucleotide microRNA precursor is filed under the name Marmota monax (woodchuck). The record is from RNAcentral. Lineage: Eukaryota; Metazoa; Chordata; Mammalia; Rodentia; Sciuridae.
AGAGGGAUAGCUGGGUCAAAUGGUGGUGCCAUUCCCAGAUUUCCAAGGAAUCUCCAUACUGCUUUCCAAAUUGGCUGCACCAAUUUGCAGUCCCACCAGCAGU